RNAcentral lists this ribosomal RNA (924 nucleotides) under Stomphia selaginella. RNAcentral describes it as "eukaryotic LSU rRNA". It matches the Rfam family "Eukaryotic large subunit ribosomal RNA", at positions 69 to 767 of the family's 3401-position model. Lineage: Eukaryota; Metazoa; Cnidaria; Anthozoa; Actiniaria; Actinostolidae. The record is from RNAcentral.
CAAGGAUUCCCCUAGUAAUUGGCGAAUGAAGCGGGAACAGCUCAAAUUUUUAAAUCUCCGUUGCGUGCAACGGCGAAUUGUAGUUUCGAGAAGCAUCUUCUCGGCGGACUCCGGGGCCGUCCAAGUUGCUUGGAACAGCACGUCAUAGAGGGUGACAACCCCGUCUGUGGCGGAACCGGGCCGCUCACGAUGUGCUUUCGACGAGUCGGGUUGUUUGGGAAUGCAGCCCAAAAUGGGUGGUAAACUCCAUCUAAGGCUAAAUAUUGGCACGAGACCGAUAGCGAACAAGUACCGUGAGGGAAAGGUGAAAAGCACUUUGAAAAGAGAGUUAAAAAGUACGUGAAACCGUUAAAAGGGAAACGAACGGGGUUAGCAAUGCGCUCUCUGCGAGAUUCAGCCGGGCCGGCGCGCCGGGCGGGCGGUCUGCGGAUCCCUUGAGGACCGCGGCCGUUCGCCGUCGGCGCUCGGACCGUCGCACUUCUCGCGAGCGCGCGCCAACGUCGGUUGGGACUGGGUCUCUCGAAAGGCGCCGGUAAGGUGGACCCGCUCUUCGGAGGGGGUUGUUAUAGACCGGCGUCGAACGGCCCGGGCCCGACCGAGGAGCCGCGGCGCAUGCCUUUCUUCGGUUUGGCUACGGUCCCGUCGUUCCGGUCGGCCGUCCGACUGCGGUGGACUGCGUGCAGUGCACCGCGACCGCGGCCGGUCGCUUCGGCGGUGAUGCGGUACCAUGCGCCCAGGACGUUGGCGGUCAGAUGGCCUCGUCCGACCCGUCUUGAAACACGGACCAAGGAGUCUAACAUGUGCGCGAGUCUUCGAGUGACCGAAACUCCCAGGCGUAAUGAAAGUGAAGGCCGGGCCGCGCUCGCGCGGUCCGCCGAGGCGAGRACCCCUUUCCCCGCUUCGGGGCGGGCGCAUCGUCGACCG